UCCCUCAUAGCUCAGCCAGUUAAGAACCUGCUUGCAAUGCAGGAGACCCAGGUUCGAUUCCUGGGUUGGGAA
Molecule: transfer RNA, 72 nt
Filed under: Ovis aries (sheep)
Lineage: Eukaryota; Metazoa; Chordata; Mammalia; Artiodactyla; Bovidae
Rfam family: tRNA
About the family: Transfer RNA (tRNA) molecules are approximately 80 nucleotides in length. Their secondary structure includes four short double-helical elements and three loops (D, anti-codon, and T loops).
Source: Rfam by way of RNAcentral